CUCACGGGACAACAUUCACACACAUUCUGCUUCAUGAAGAGGUCAGAUUAUCGUCAGACCAUAGACAUUACAUGUAAGGACACUGAACAUUUGGCCGGAUUACACAUAGAAAUGCAAUCCAAAACAAAAUGGGUAAAGAUAAAGCAUGUUUAUUGAUGCGGCAAACAAAGGUUCAAAUAUCCUCCAAAGCACUUCAAGCCCUCAAAGAAUGAAACUCAAAACGCAGAUGAGGUAAAAGAAGAAACUUCUAAAUUAAAGUGGAGCGACCCAGGGACAAGUCUGGUUUGGGUUAAAGAUUAUGGAUGGUUAACUUUGUGUAACAUGUUUGGACAAGCAAGUUUAGGUUUUAUGCAAGCGAGUUUAGCCAAGCGAGUACAGGCAAGCGAGUCAAGCUAAGCGAGUUUAGGUUUUAUGCAAGCGAGUUGAGGUAAGAGAGUCAAGUUACUUUAGGCCUCACUUUAUUUGCGGUUAAAUUGCGGCAUUAGGUUUAGAAAGAAGGUUAAAAUCCAGGCUCAGGUUUGCUUCCAGCCUCG
This is a long non-coding RNA of Gadus macrocephalus (Pacific cod), 533 nucleotides long. RefSeq lists it as uncharacterized. Lineage: Eukaryota; Metazoa; Chordata; Actinopteri; Gadiformes; Gadidae. The transcript has 3 exons. The record is from RefSeq and is a predicted model, not a curated record.